GAUGAACGCUGGCGGCGUGCCUAAUACAUGCAAGUCGAGCGAACGGACGAGAAGCUUGCUUCUCUGAUGUUAGCGGCGGACGGGUGAGUAACACGUGGAUAACCUACCUAUAAGACUGGGAUAACUUCGGGAAACCGUAGCUAAUACCGGAUAAUAUUUUGAACCGCAUGGUUCAAAAGUGAAAGACGGUCUUGCUGUCACUUAUAGAUGGAUCCGCGCUGCAUUAGCUAGUUGGUAAGGUAACGGCUUACCAAGGCAACGAUGCAUAGCCGACCUGAGAGGGGGAUCGGCCACACUGGAACUGAGACACGGUCCAGACUCCUACGGGAGGCAGCAGUAGGGAAUCUUCCGAAAUGGGCGAAAGCCUGACGGAGCAACGCCGCGUGAGUGAUGAAGGUCUUCGGAUCGUAAAACUCUGUUAUUAGGGAAGAACGUAUGUGUAAGUAACUGUGCACAUCUUGACGGUACCUAAUCAGAAAGCCACGGCCAACUACGUG
Molecule: ribosomal RNA, 497 nt
Filed under: uncultured bacterium
Lineage: Bacteria
Description: partial 16S ribosomal RNA
Rfam family: Bacterial small subunit ribosomal RNA
Source: RNAcentral